This 21043-nucleotide long non-coding RNA is filed under the name Daucus carota (carrot). Its description in RNAcentral is "long non-coding RNA (DCAR_LNC002562)". Lineage: Eukaryota; Viridiplantae; Streptophyta; Magnoliopsida; Apiales; Apiaceae. The record is from RNAcentral.
UUUAGCUCUAUACAUUUCAGGCCUGGUUCUCAUUUCUAUGUAUACAACUUGGAUAGUUUUAUGAUUAAUAUGCUCGAUAUGAUACCAUGAUUUGAUAUUGCGUUUGUUAAGUGUUUAAUAAAUGUUAUCCAAACUAAUUGCCUCUAGUUGGUCAUGAUGUAAUUCGAUAUUCAUAAGUUGUUUUUGAUAUCAAUAAUCAAAUUUGAGUCGAUAUGUGCAAGAGAUCGCUGUGAAUAUAUGCGUAACAGGUCACUGUGAAAUGUAAUAAGUGUGAGUGAAGUAUGUUUGAAUUUAUAACUCAAAUCCAAUGAUUUUAAUUGCUAAUUUAAGAAUGGAAUGGUACUGUUUAUGUCAAGUGUUCAUUUUCUUCGUAUAUGUGUACAACUUUAAUAACAUGUCUUAAUGCUAUGAAGUAUUAUACUAUUAUUCCACCAAGUCCAAGAGUAAUUCCUUUUCCUUAGAAUUUUCAAUAGCUUCCCGGGGGCGAAGAAGGCUUAUUAAUAUACAGAUUUUGUUAAGUAUCAGCUCAAUAGAAGUAGUCAGGUGUUAAGUAAAUUCCUUGUCAUCAUGUACAUACGGGGUUGUUCCAAAUUGUGCAACAUAGGACUAAACAGAACUUUUCCUUUGAGCUAAUUACCUUCAAGCGCAAGGUUCUCUUAUUUGCCAGAAGAAAAUAAUAAGAGUUCCUCGAUGAAAAAUUCCCAUGUCAUAAUCGAUUGCUCCACUCGUAAUGUUUGAAACCAAAUGUUCAAUCACUCUACAAUGUUGCAUAUAUAGGUUAAGCUGAGCCCAAAUGAUGUCAGUAUUAAUUAUGACACCCACAAGCGAAACACUAAUCAGAUUACAGGAAACCUUCCUAUUUCGGGGGUGGUGUAGGCAUACAGUGACUUAGAUCAGAUGAGUCAAUUUUGAACAUGAAAACAAAUAAGAUGGUAUUUUGUAGGCACUGGAUGUACGAUUAUGAAGUUUCACUUCCCUAACUCCACUGUUUGAUAUGUUUUUAAUCCAAAUAUCUAUAUCUGAAUAGAGAUGAAGUGGCAGAUCAUUAGGAUUGCAAAGAAUAAACUUCAAUAUGAGACCUCCAAGAGAUAAAAGAAUACUGCUGCCGGUUAUUGAAAAUUCAUAUAGUUUAGUUUCUCUACUUCUGAAAGGAAACCUCUGAGAAAACCGGUUGAAGAAAAGGUCAUCAAAAACUAGGUGUGAGUGUAUUUCCCAUUUACCCCUUCAUGUUUUUGAGAGAAUCCUCAUUCUUGCUACACAGUCAACCGGCAAUCACUUUUGAAUUAGGUCUAGUAAGUCACUGGGCAUGUCACUUUUGAAUUAGACCUUAUACCAAAGCGAUUGCCGGUUGACUGUGUAGCGAGAAUGUACAUUCUCUCAAAAACAUGGAGGGGUAAAUGGGAAAUGCACCCACACCUAGUUUUUGAUGACCUUUUUCUUCAACCGGCUUUCUCAGAGGUUUCCUUCCAGAAGUAGAGAAACCAAACUAUAUGAAUUUUGAAGAACCGUCAGCAGUAGUCUUUUAUCUCGUAGUGGUCUCAUAUUGAAGUUUUUUCUUUGCAUUCCUCAUGAUUUGUUUCUUCAUCUCUAUUUAGAUAUAGAUAUUUGGAUUAAAAACAUAACAAACAAUGGAGUUAAGGAAGUGCAACUUCAUAAUCGUACAUUGAGUGCCCACAAAAUACCAUCGUAUUUGUUUUCCUGUUCAGAGUUGACUCGUCUGAUUCUAAGUUGUAUGCUCACACCACCCCGGAAAUUGAAGACUUCCGUAAUCUGAUUACUGUUUUGAUUGUGGGUGUCAUAAUUACAACUGACAUAUCAUUUGGGGCUCAACUUACUGACCUACAUUUGCAAAGUUGCAUUGGGAUUGAACAUUUGAGAAUGGAAAGGCAUUUGUUUAUGUCAAGUGUUCAUUUUCUUCGUAUUUGUGUACAACUUUAAUAACAUGUCUUAAUGCUAUCAAGUAUUAUACUAUUAUUCCACCAAGUACAAGAGUAAUUCCUUUUCCUUAGAAUUUUCGAUGGCUUCCCGGGGGCGUAGAAGGCUUAUUAAUAUACAUAUUUUGUUAAGUAUCAGCUCAAUAGAAGUAGUCAGGUGUUAAGUAGAUUCCUUGUCAUCAUGUACAUACGGGGUUGUUCCAAAUUGUGCAACAUAGGACUCAAAAAAACUUUUUCUUUGAGCUAAUUACCUUCACGCGCAAGGUUCUCUUAUUUGCCAGAAGAAAAUGAUAAGAGUUCCUCGAUGAAAAAUUCCCAUGUCAUAAUCGAUUGCUCCACUCGUAAGGUUUGAAACCAAAUGUUCAAUCACACUACAAAGUUGCAUAUAUAGGUUAGUAAGUUGAGCCCAAAUGAUGUCAGUAUUAAUUAUGACACCCAUAUGCGAAACACUAAUCAGAUUAUAGGAAACCUUCAUAUUUCGGGGGUGGUGUAGGCAUACAGUGACUUAGAUCAGAUGAGUCAAUUUUGAACAUGAAAACAAAUAAGAUGGUAUUUUGUAGGCACUGGAUGUACGAUUAUGAAGUUUCACUUCCCUAACUCCACUGUUUGAUAUGUUUUUAAUCCAAAUAUCUAUAUCUGAAUAGAGAUGAAGUGGCAGAUCAUUAGGAUUGCAAAGAAUAAACUUCAAUAUGAGACCUACAAGAGAUAAAAGAAUACUGCUGCCGGUUAUUGAAAAUUCAUAUAGUUUGGUUUCUCUACUUCUGAAAGGAAGCCUCUGAGAAAGCCGGUCGAAGAAAAGGUCAUCAAAAACUAGGUGUGAGUGUAUUUCCCAUUUACCCUUCAUGUUUUUGAGAGAAUGCUCAUUCUUGCUACACAGUCAACCAGCAAUCACUUUUGAAUUAGGUCUAGUAAGUCACUGGGCAUGUCACUUUUGAAUUAGACAUUAUACCAAAGCGAUUGCCGGUUGACUGUGUAGCAAGAAUGUGCAUUCUCUCAAAAACAUGGAGGGGUAAAUGGGAAAUGCACCCACACCUAGUUUUGAUGACCUUUUCUUCAACCGGCUUUCUCAGAGGUUUCCUUCCAGAAGUAGAGAAACUAAACUAUAUGAAUUUUCAAGAACCGUCAGCAUUAGUCUUUUAUCUCGUAGUGGUCUCAUAUUGAAGUUUGCUCUUUGCAUUCCUCAUGAUUUGUUUCUUCAUCUCUAUUCAGAUAUAGAUAUUUGGAUUAAAAACGUAUCAAACGGUGGAGUUAGGGAAGUGAAACUUCAUAAUCGUACAUCCAGUGCCUACAAAAUACCAUCUUAUUUGUUUUCAUGUUCAGAAUUGACUCAUUUGAUUCUAAGUUGUUGUAUGCUCACACCACCCCGGAAAUUUGAAGACUUCCGUAAUCUGAUUACUGUUUUGCUUUUGGGUGUCAUAAUUACAAUUGACAUAUCAUUUGGGGCUCAACUUACUGACCUACAUUUGCAACGUUGCAUUGGGUUUGAACAUUUGGGUUGUCAAUAUAAAUAUUAUAUCAAUCUCACUUUUCUGAGUAUCACCCAUUGUGGGGAAAUUGAUUGGCUAUGGUUUAGAUGCACCCGAAAGGUGAUUGAUUUNGACUUGCGGUCCUCUCUGUAAGUGAUAAUCACAUUCCACCCACUCUGGCUUAGAUUCUGCCUUGUUUUUCUUUCACUUAUUCUCCAGCUAUAUUUGUUCCUACUUUCUCUUUAUUAAUCACGUCAUAACAAUGUCCUCAUAUUAUCUGUAAUAGCAUUGUAUUGUAUUGAGUCCUGAUCACAUUUGUGUUUUUUAUUAUAUCUAUCAAUAUAUAUAUUCUCUUCUUGUUUGUUCUCCUGGCUGGUAAGACAACUUCUCAAAUCUAUUUUUAAGGUUCACGGAUAUCCUUGCUCUCUUGAUAAUAAGAGGUCGAGGACUCAAGUUGGAGUAGUCAGGUGUGCAUGCCUAUUUAAAUUUCUGAAUUGACCUUACUAGAAAUAAGAAAAUUCGUCAAUAUAAUAUAUUGUUUCAUCAUUCGUGUACCAUACAUAUGUACACAUUAAAUUUUAUUAACAGAUUACGACGAAUGUCUACAAUAUAUCUCUUGGUAACAUAAUUCUGAUUGCAUACUAUAUAUCCUAAAAUAUGGUUAAGCACUACUAAAUGAAUUUUACAUGUUCACGAGUACUAUGCUCUUCUGUUAACCUUGUAUGUAGGAACCUGAUGCGAAGUGGUGGAAUGUUAUGCACUAGGUAGAAAGCUGGGAAUAUGGUGUCAUCGGUGACACAAUAUUUGCAAUCACUACACUUGAUUGGCAUGGCUUUUGACCAACUCGAAACUGUGGAAUUAUAUGGAGUGAAUCUUUCUUCUGAGCUUCAUUUCAUAAAGCUUUUGCUUGCAUCUUCUCCUUCGCUUAAAUUGAUGAGAAUUUAUAACAUGAUUCAUGACCGUGAAAAAAGCGUCGAGGGUGUCGCAAGAGUUGAUGAGGUUCCCCCGAGCAUCCACAACUGCAGAGAUUAUAUGGAAGUAACGAGUAGUAUUGAUAGGUUUGUUUUGGAAGUUAAUGUUGAACCAUAUGGACUCCUUGGGAUUGUUUAUUUUGUGGUUGCAGAAUCAGAGACCCCUUUUUGUGGCUCUUGAACGUGAGAUCUUUUUCUGGGUUUAUUAACUUCAAUUUCAAUGACAGCAAAGUUUUUGGUUUAUUUAUUUAUUUAUCUUUUCUGGGUUUUUCUUAAGUUUUUGGUUUAGAUGGCUUUCAUGUUUAGAGUCCCGUAAACUGUAGGCUACAUGUAGUCAUGGUUGCUUCUCUAUUUGACAAUCAUAUUUUAGGCGCUCUCUUGAGAGUUGUUAUUUGUCAUAUUUUCAUAGUUUAGCCCUGGCCGUCCCUUUCCCAGAAACUAAAAUACCUUGAACUAGAAGUCACUCUUGUUAUCGGUAGUCUGAGUGUUGCUCUGUUUGACCCCCCUGUCCUGAACUUUUUCUGAUCCUGGGUGUUGCUUUGUUCGCCCCCCAUUGUUACAAGCAUCAGGUCCUUAAGUAACAGGAAGUGCUUAUCUAAAAGCUGAACAUUUGUCCUCACUGAUGGAAGUUUCUCUCUUAGUAUGCUGUUUAUUCUGGAACAGUUAUAUAGAAUAGCACAUUUUCUGACAUUACUUUGAAAUUCUCUUAUCCUUUUCUUGGUAUGUGUAAACCCCUAUGGAAGUCUUUAUUAUUUUCACGAAACGGUUGAUUGCAGAAAUUUAAAUACUCUCUUUAAUUUUCAAAUACUGUGUGGCAAUCAAGCAUGUCAAAUACUGUGUGGUAAUUUUCGAUGAGUAUUCUCACGCACCUGUCUUGUCUUUAAUAAGAUUCAAAACCUCGACGUGAGAGAUUUCAUGAUACCAUCUGAUCAAGAGGUCUUAAUUCUUGAUCCAUGUUUUUUUUGUUUGCAAGUUGACUCAUCAUCUAUGUUACCCGGACUCGACUAAAAAUGUCCCAUAUUAAUGUGUUUAGUGUCGGAUUUAGUAAUAUUCUGAAAAUUUUAUACGUUUUUUCUAAAAUAAGUGUUGGAGUGGCCAUAUACAUGUUCGAGUGUUUACUUCUGAUAAAAUGAAGAGUUGGGGUAAUAUAGCUCCUGAUUUGGUUGUGUUGUUAUGGGAUUGAUAUAGGUGGAUGCAUUUACGGAGUCGGCGUUUAAGGGGAACCCUGCUGCUGUGUGUUUCCUAGAAGAGGAGAAAGAUGAGACAUGGUUACAAGCUGUUGCAACUGAGUUCAAUAUUUCUCAGACAUGUUUCUUGACUCGGAUUGCGGCUGACUCCGUUUCUACCAACCCUCUGUUUGGCCUCAGGUGGUUCACUCCUGUUGCUGAGGUCCUCUCUUUUUCUCUCCUUUUUUUGGGGAUAUUUUAUUAUUUGAUUUAAGGACUAUUGAGUAUUUAUGUUUUUUUCAGUUUUUUUUGUACUAAUUAAAUUAUUUUUUUGUACUAAUUAAAACAUACGUAAAUAAAGCAAAAAAGUAACAAAAUGCGGGUGGGUAAAGUAAAUAAACUUCAAAAUUAUAUUUAGGCUUCGUUUGUUUCACCAAAAAUAACUUAAUUUUAGAAAAUAUUUUCUUCGGGAGCUACUUUCCUAAAAGAAUGUUUUUUACAGAACAUAUUUGCCGUCCUAAACAAAUGUUUUAUGCUGAAAUUUUUGAGAAAAUUUUCUCGAGAAUUUUUCAUAAAUUUUUCUCGAGAAAUUUUAGGGAAAAUUUCCAACAAUUAUCCAUGAGAAAUAUUUUUCUAGAUAAUAUUUUCCCCUGUUCAAAUGUCGGAAAAACGUUUUUCUGGCAAACAAGCGAAGUCUAGCUUUUUUUAAAUGCAAGAAAAUAGUGUUUUAGCCUGAAAAUAUAUUUUCCCAUUCCGCUGUGCAAAUAUGUUUUGUUGGAAGAAAUUAUGAACUGCAUUUUGUUUGUUAAUAUGCAAUUAGCAGAAGUAACUAGUCAUAUACACUAAAAAAAAUUGUGAAUGACAUUAGAAUUAGUAAUUUCACUUAUGAUAGAAUAUAACAACUCUUACUUUGUUUACAAUUACAUUCGAUUUAUGUUAUCUCUAUAUAUCUUUUGCUGUCCUUAAUGUUUGUAGUGUAAUGGAUUGUUAAUAAUAUAAUCCUGAAAUUUCUGGAUUCAGGUCAGCAACCGACGAACUCGCAGGUGGAUAAAUGAUCGUCUGUUGAUGGAGCUUGUUCCUCGUUUGAAUGCAGAGGAAAUUAGAGGCUUGUUUGCGCCACCACCUUGGGGUAAGAGAAACCAUAUAGACUUUUUAUUGUGUUUAUGUUUUGAAGCUCAAUGCAUUUUUGAAAUUUGCUUAUUGCAUUUUAAAGACUAAAAACUUUGGUUUCAAACAGACUUGGCACGAAUCUUUUCUUAUGUUUCACUAUUGUUAUUUAUGUUUGAAGGUGAAACUGAAAGAAAUGAGAAGAGUGUCAUAGUCCCUCCUUUAAUGUAGUCUCAAACAUAAUUUUGAUGGGAGGUCAAUUUUACAGGUGAUGAGGUACCAGUUUCAGCAUUCUGCAUGACAAAUGGAGGGGAGUGGGACAAGUUCAGAAGUAUUGACAUGGACAAAGAGGUUUUUUACUUCUCUUACUUACUAUGUACUCUUAUUAUUUUAGUUUGUGCAUAAUUAUAUACAUGUAUAUAGAAUAUUUUCUAUAAAGGCUUUGCUGCAGUGCGGAUGCCAUUCAAAUGUUUGAUAUAGCAUAGGUNCAGUUUUUCUUAGGGUAAUUUAGUAAUAGCCACCGAGGGGUGAAGAGGGGGGCGGGGGUUAAAAAUCAUGGACAAAGAGGUUUAGGGUUUUUAUCGAUAAAAUGUGUUUCCUGCUUUCUAUUUUUCUAUUGAUUGGUUUGUGAUGUCUCUUUGCAAUUGUUGUGCUGAAGUGUUUUCCUUAAAGAGUAGUGGGAUGAAAAAAAGGUAAUUAAAGGUAAUAAAGCAUAACCAGUGGGAAUUUAUUGUAACAAUUUGGUCCCACAUUUAAUAGUAUGACUGUAUGUUUUGAUAAUACCUGGUUCCACAAAUCUAUAUCAUUGUUCUGGUCCAUAUACCAAGGAUGUAUACUGUUAUGUUAAUUCUGGGGUUCUCAAAAACUGGAGAUCGGAAAGAUUUUUUCAAGUUCUUUCAUUUCCCUUUUUCCCUCUGAUUAUGUACCGUAUCUGCGAAUAGUUUUUAUUGCUUCAGGACAUGUCAUCUGAACAUCUGAUGUAUAAAGGCGUGUGACAUCUUUUCAUCUGUUUAAUUUCUUGUUGACAGAUCAAAGUAAUCGAAACCCUUGGAGGCUCUUCUUCAAAAAAGAAAGGUCGUGUGGAUGUUGAUAAGAUGGCUGAUUUGGCUGCAUGGCACAGAGUAAACUGUCGCACUAGAGAAGCACUCCGACAUAGCUUCCUUGCCGAGCUAAUUGAGAGCUAUGAGGUAGUACUUUAUGUGAAAUGAGUUUAAUGAAAGAUGAUAAAUUCACUAUCAUGUGAACUUUUUCCUUUAUAUAUUAACUAGGAACCUUCUUCCUGUAUAUUUAUAUGUAUUUACAGAAGUCUUUUUUUUUUUUUUAUCUUCCUGUAUAUUUAUAUGUAUUUACAGAAGUCUUUUUUUUUUUUUUAUUUGACAGUAUUUACAGAAGUCUUAUUUUGAUUAACAAGAAGGGUAGACUAUAAUCUUUAUCUCUGAAGUAAUAAUUGCUUGUUCCUUUUUAUUGCAUUUUCUUAUCAUAUCUUACCUGUCUGUCACAAGGCAUGUGAUUGUCUAACUAAAACUUAUUGGAAAAACUUUUACUUAGUAUUGUUAUGUUUCAUAAUCAAGUCAACUUUCUAGUAUUAUGAAGAAACUUGUCCACUUGUUAUUUAUUAUAUUGUUCAUCUGAUAAUUUUUUUACAAAUUUAUGAUAUUUUGUUGCCUUUCCUAGUGUACCUUACGCAUCACCUCUUUGCAGGCAUGUCUGAGGGUUUUCAUUGAGGGUCUUGACGGAGAUGUUCUUGUGCUACAUGUUAAAGACCCUUUCCAUAGGAUGCUACUUCACGGUGUUUGUGAGGUAUAGCUCCUUGGAAUCUUGUAAAGUUGAGCUUCAACUAGAAUUUUGCUCAUCUAUAUAAAUUUGUUGACAUUUUACCUUCUCAUGGCACUGGUGGAUUCUAUUGAGUUUGCAGGACAUGCUAAUACAUGUAGUAGUAGAUACAAUGACCAAUCUUAUUAGUAUUGCUGAUAAUCUUAUCACCUGUAUUUUCCCAGUUCUAAGACUUGGUGUCUGUGACAGACACCGAAUCAGACACAGAGCCGAUGAAGCCCACAAAGAUCAAGAAAAAGAAAGCAGGCUCUGUCCAACCACCGAAAAUCACCCUCUGCAACUUCCUGAAAAUGGCAAAGGAAGGAAACUGGUAACUCCGUUUGCAGGGACUCGCAUACAUUAGUAGAUGGGUAGUAUAGAACCCAGUUAUCAUCAUAUCAAAUCGUCUUGUUUGUGAAAACAAAUCGUAAUGACUUAAUUAUCGUUUUAGGCCUUAGUGUGAUCUGUAACAUUAAUAGGUUGUUAAAAUUGCUGGCAAUCCUCUAGUAGUUGUUUCUACAUCUUUCCAAGAGCAGAUUAAAAAUGUCAGUGACAAAAUCAAUUCUCUGAUAAUGUUGUGCUUGAUAAAAUUUCCGUGUAAAAAUAAUUUAUAAAAGAAGCAUCAUAAAAGUGUAAAAUAUUAUUUUUGGUCCGAAAUGUUACUAUACAGUGGUAUCAAAUGCCAAAAGAAUAUUGAGUUUCGACACUUUAAGUUACUUAUACUCUAUUCUAUAUAGCAAAAAAUCGGUUCUUUUGACACUUUAAGUUACUUAUACUCGUUUUUAGAUAGCAAAAAAUCGGUGGGCGUUUGGUAACGCUUAAGCACUUCUGACUUCUUUUAGCACUUUUGUAACACUUUAAGUUACUUGUACUUUUGUAACACUUUAAGUUACUUAUUGAGUGAUCCGCAUUUUAUUAUGAAGUGUUUACAUUUUUAGAGUCAAGUUCUAUGGAGUACAAACAAUAUUGGAGUAUUGGAGUACAAGAUUCAUACAAUAUAAUCUAGUCAUCCAAAAUCUUCAUUUUUUGUGUUCUACAAUACUUGUAAACAUUCGACAACCUGCAGAUUAUGUUCUACAACAUAAACAUUGUAAUCAAAAGAUAGAACAGUUACUUUUAUAAAUCGUACGACAUUAUGUUCUGCAAUAUAACUUAUAAGCAGAACAACAAUCUUAAUGCUUGUUAAAGUUGAAAGAUAUUAAUGAUUAAUUGACAAUUAUGUUUAAUACUACAUAUAAAUGAUAAAUUAUAUAUAAAUCUGGAUAAUAAGAGUAAUUAUUUAUGAUUAAACUAAAAAAUUAUGAUUUGUACUCCAAUUUUCCAAUGUUUUUAAGUACUCCAUAUAACUUAACUCAACAUUUUUAAUAUAUAAUAAACUUUAUUUAUUAAUAAAACAUUUUUUAUUUUAAUAAUUUGAAUUUUUUUAAUUUAUAAAUUUAAAAUUAUCAAACACUCAAUUGACUUAUAAGUAAAAGUUAUCCACACAUUUUAAGAACUUUUAAGUAAGGUCAUUUAUCAUUUAUAAUCCACUUCUUUACUUUUAGCAAUUAGAAAUAAGUUAUUUUUUCUAAGUUAAGUCAAACGACCCCUUAGUCUCAAAAGCAUUCCAUAUACCAAAAUUUUUAUAAUUAGUAAAAGAAUAUCCAAAAUAUCAUUUAUUGUUUAAGACCUCGUAUUUGUGAAAGACUGUCCAAAAUAUUAUUAUUUAUUAAAGUCGGAUAAUCAAGCGUUUUGAAUUUUAGGAAGCGUAUUCAACCGAGAUUUUAUCAUAUUGUUUUUUAUUUGUGAAUUUAAAUGAAUUAUAUAUAUAUAUAUAUAUAAUUUUUAGGGAAAUCUACAAAACUACCUACCUUUUCUUUUAUUGUUUUCAAAAAUACUACCUUCCAGAAUUUUUUUUAAAAAUACCUUUUCAUAAAAUCUUUUUUUCAAAAAUACUGUUUGCAACUUUUGCAACCUCAUCUGCAACUCCAGGCGGCGCCAGCCGUGUUGCAACCUCUUUUGCAACUUCAUAUGCAACCGAAUUAUAUAUAUAUAUAUAUAUAUAUAUAGACAAAAGUUAUAUGGAGUCUUAUAAAUUUUGGAGUCCUUGGAGUCCCAAUCUGGGCCCUCCAUCUUGUGUAACAUCCAAUGGCUGUUAUGUUUUUUGGAUUAAUCUUUUCUUUUUAGUUUUUUAUUUUUUUAAAAACCAACCGUGCAUUUUUUGAACAGGCGUGCGUAUGUUAUCCGGCAGUUGCAACUGCCUCAGAGUGUUUCCAGGAGAUGUAGAGAGAAGUGUCCUGCACCUACGAAAUAAUUUUUUUUUUCAUUUUUUCAUUUUUUGUUCUUUCAUACGCGGGAGGCAAUAUCUUUAAUAUCGAGAUCAAUCUGUGUAAAGUGUAUAAUAAGAAGGCCCAAUCAAAUAAGUUUUGUAGUUUUUUUAAUGCAUCUUGUGUUCAUUUUAGGUCCUGUAUUGCAAGGUCUAUUGUGCAUACGAUUUCUGUGCAGGACAUGUUUAUGGUUAAUGUAUUUGUCUUGCGUAUCAUCAUUACAAAGUAAUGGUUGUCUUUUCAUUCUGCACAUGUUCUUGGUUACCAGAGCUGUCAAAACCCUCUCGAGGAGUCACAAAAUCAUCAUCCUCUUCGUCAGGAACGCUCGCACGCAUCUUAUCUACAUCCAUCCUUUCAUUACAUAUGUCCAAUCUAGGCACUGGUGUCGACACCUCUCCUUGAGAUUUGUCAAACACGCUUCCACUUACGUUUUUUCUCAGCAAAGUACCGUCUGACACAAUUCUUGCAGGCAUGCAAUUAUAGCCGUCAUCAUCAAUGGUUAUGUAUCCUGGUUUCUUCUUAGUCCAAUUGUAUACCCACGGGCUUUCGAUUAGUCUACUGCUUCUCCUUCGACCUAAGCACACGAGGAAUAAUAGCUUAUUAAGCACACGAGGAAUAAUAGAUUAUUAUACAAUUAAGAUACUAGAAUAUUACACACGAUGCAAAACAACUAAUUAUACAAUGUUCAGGACACUUAAAAAAAUCCAAACUCCGAUUAAAGAUUCCAAGAUACUGGUCUGUUAGAAACUGGAAGGACACGUUAAAAACAAGAAUCACUGAUAGCCCAAAAACACAACAAAUGCCUAAUCACUUAUUAUGCAACAUCAAGAUGAAAUUAGUAAUUAACAGAGUGCAAAACUAAACCAAAAAAAAUGUAUAUACUACAAUAGCAGUAGCAAUGUUCGUUCACAUAUGACGCAAAUGCAGGAUCAAAAUGAAUACAGAGUGCAGGACUCAUCAACAAAUAUUCUAUAAUAUUACCAAAUUCUUAAUCUAGAAUAUUAAAAGCAUAGGGAAACAUUGGCAAGCGUUAAUUUAGCUACUCUACUUGAUUUUAGUGUUAUUUACUGUUCACCUUGUCUUACUAAAGAAACACUCUGUAAAAGGACAAAAGAAAUCCUUUCAUGGACUUCCAAAAAAAAGAGUUUAAAAUCAAGAAAUGUAGACUCUCUCACAAUGCACUCUAUUAAGGUAUCCUGUAAACAUCUGGUCCAAGAUUUUGGUUCAACUUCAUAUGAGUACAUUAACAUAAAGCACCAAAACACAUAUGCCGUCCCUUGCACACUGCUUUCUGUUCACUACACUUUGCAGGACCUAACAAUUAAUUAUCUUCAAACAAGAAAAUUAAGCAGAUGCAGGACACAUAAAAAGGUCACAAACCACAAACUCCUUCUGAUUAGAACAGGAGAAUCAACGUUCAUGGCUGAAAUACCUUUAAUGUUGUCAUGCUAUAGGUCUUCAAGUCUUAAGGAACUGAUUGAAGCAUCGAAAAGACAACAGUACAUUGUGAUUCUAGGAAGAAGAGGGGGAAACUGGACAGAUAACACCAGGGUGAAAGGGGGAAAUGAUAAGGUGUAAUCUCAUCAUUUAGGAUUUAUCUGUUGUACUCAACAACUUUUCAUUUAAGAACUGGUUAUUUAGCGAUUAAGGAAUGGUCAAAUAUUAUUCUAGUACAUUGCCAAAAAACAGGUUAUAAGAUACUCUUUAAAAACAUCCUGGAUACAAAAUUUCUACGUACCUUUUCAUGUUUCAAAAGACAAAAAAAAUUGCAAAUCAAAUUACAAGGGACAACCUUAUCCAAUCUGUAGUUUUUCAUGUUUUCAGCUGUCUCUCGAUCAUUUACAAACUCUGAUAAGUUACUCCUAUUACUAACAUAGCCCCAACCAAAAAAAUCCAAAGAAAUGCAAGACAACCCAGUCAAUUGGGAACCCAUACAAUCACAUAUUAUGCAACUGCAAGAUAAAAAUAACAACCAAAUGCAGGACACCUAACAACUAAUUAUCUUCAAAUAAGAAAAUUAAAAAGAUGCAGGACACAUAACUACAGGAUCAAUCGCACAACUAAACCACAAAAUGCAUUUACAAUGUCAAGAAUGUACUGCACACCAAAAGCCCCAAAUUCAAUCGAAUCAGUUAUUGCACACAACUGGUGUAAUAUGCCGAGUUUGAACACACACAAAUUACGAUUUCUAAAAAAGCCCCUAAAAAACACGGAGAGCCAACAAUUCAAUGGGGCUACCGGCAAAUGGAGGAGAACCCAUUCAUUCGGGAUGCCGUAUUUCAUAGAAUCAGUGUUUUCAGCGGCAAGAACAACGACAUGCAAAGCAAUUGAAGGACAUAAUGAGAAGAUAGUGGCAUACCUGAACUCAUCUUCGAAAGAAAUUGAAGCGUCCUGCAAAAGCCCUAACUGGUGGUUGUGCUUAGUGUAUACGGUUCUGCAGCUUGGUUAUACACAGCGAAAAUCGGGGAUUAGGUGGUAACGGCCGUGCUAGUGUUAACCACCGGAGGAUGCAGGAUAGAAACUCUGAAGAAACGUGUGCGAAAGUGAAGUUGAAAAAUGGUUUAAAAUUGUCAGCGGUUUAUUUGAUCAUUAAAUCAGAGCCACAGGAUCUUUUUAAAAUCCAACGGUGGAUCUUAGGGACUCCAAAUAAUAUAUAUAUAUAUAUAUAUAUAUAUAUAUAUAUAUAUAUAGCAUACGGUUGUAUUCAGUUGCAUAUGGUUGUAUUCAGUUGAUUAUAUUGUAAUCUAAUGGCCCCGCCAGGGGCACACCAUACAUCUGUUGUUACUUACAGUUUUCAGUUGCAUUUAGUUGCAACUGAGGUUGCAAAUGAAGUUGCAAAAGUUGCAACUGCAGUUGCAACUUCAUUUGCAACCUCAUUUGCAACUUUUGCAACCUCAUUUGCAACUUUUGCAACUUACAGUUUUCAGUUGAACUAGUUGCAAUUGCAGUUGCAACUGUUGCAACUUUCCAUUUUUAUUUGCAACUUUUGCAACCUCAUUUGCAACUUUUGCAACCUCAUUUCCAUUUUUAUUUGCAACUUUUGCAACCUCAUUUGCAACUUUUACGGCUGCGCCGCCCAAGGUUGCAAAUGAGGUUGCAAAGGUUGCAAAUCGUAUUUUUGAAAAAAAAAUUUUAUGAAAAGGUAUUUUUAAAAACAAUGAAAAAGAUGGUAGUAUUUUUAAAAAAAUAAUUUUACAGAUGGGUAUUUUUAAAAAGAUCCCUAAUUUAUAUAUAUAUAUAUAUAUAGACUUUGUGCGGAUUUUUGAUAAAGUAUUAUAGGGUUGAUAUAAAUUUCUUAGAAUUUAAACAUAAUGUUUCAAAAAUCUAAAAAUCUCAUGAAUUUUGGUGGGAUUUCAAAAAACUGAAAAUACACUGAACAGUCUCACAAAAUCCAUCAUUUUACAAAGUCCAAAAAAACCUAUCAUAAUUUGAAUACUAACAUAUUUUAAUUGAUUUUAAACAAUUACAAUUGAGUACUAUCAGAUUUUCAAUAUAGUUUAAGAUCCUCGUUGAAUACGGCCAGAUUUUAUAGCCUAACUUAAAAUCCCAGUUCAUUUUUUAAUAUUAUUUAAUAUGAUAAUUAUAUGAUACUUUUUGUAAUAUUAUUAUUUACAUAUAUAUAUACACAAAAUUAUACAAAUAUACAGAGAAAACACUCAUUUGAUCUAAAAUAAAUAAAAAUAUCUCAACCAUAAGUGUAAUAAGAUAAAAAACAUUAUAUUUAAUUUGAUAAUAUAGGUGUAAUAAAAUAAAAUAUUAUAUACAAUCUCGAGGUUGCGAAAUAGUUAUAACUGACAACGCAUUUAAAAUCCACUUUUUUAUCCUUUAUAAAAACAAAUAUCCCUUCUACAUUUUUCAACUGGGUCAGAGAAAUACUGUAAGAGAGAACUCUACUUUUCUACCUAUAUUUUAAAAUAUUUUAAUGUAUAUUCAUAAAUUUUAAUCUUCAACUUUUUUAGAUAAUAUAUUAAUUUAAUAUUUCAAAAAAAAUAUUGAGAUUUUAACAUAUUUUGCCUACCGGACCAAACAAUACUUUAAAUAUCUCUAAUUUAUUAGAAACUCCUUUAAUAAUUUUUACAAAAUAAUUUAAGAACUUUUUAAUAAAUAAGAUAUAAAUAAUUAAAAAAAUUUAUAUUUUCAUUAUUUAGUAGUAAGUAUUUAUUUAUGAAAAUAAAUUUAGCUGAGGAACAUAUUUUUUUCCUCUUUUCCUUAACCUAAACUCUAAUAAAACUCCUUAAGAUCCUAGCCCAAACCCAUGUAAGUUAUGAAUUAAACAAUUAAACCUUAACCUAAGCUUAUGUAAGCUAUCAAUUAAACAAUUAAAUACCCUCUAAUAAAACUCUUUAUUAUUCUAACCCAAGCCCAUAUAAGUUAUUAAUUAAAAUGCUCUAAUAAAAUUCUUUAAAAUCCUAACCCAAGCCCAUGUAAGCUAUGAAUUAAACUAUUAAACGCGCUCUACCUGCUCGUUAAAAUCAUAGCCCAAGCCCAUGUAAGUUACUAAUAAAACUCUUCGAAACCCUAGCCCAAGCCAAUGUAACUUAUGAAUUAAACAAUUACAUGCCGGUUAAAACCCUAGCCCAAGCCCAUAUAAGUUACUAAUAAAACUCCUCGAAACCCUAGCCCAUGUAACUUAUGAAUUAAACAAUACAUUUCAAUUCAAACUCGUGAUAUUUACGCCGUUUUCUCAAAUUCCUGCGGCGGCUACUAUUCUGUAUAGCAAAACCUUUUUCUUGAUUAAAAUUCAACCCAUGACGAAGAAGCAAGUGAAGUACUGUGUGGUAAUCUCAUUCUGUUAUUUAUAUAUGCAUCAUUUUGUUUUUAACACACACAGAGUGAUGAUUUGCUAAAAAGAUUGAAUUUUUCAGGUGGAUGCAUUCACAGAAUCAGCGUUCAAGGGAAACCCAACUGCAGUUCAAUUGGUGGCCACUGAGUUCAAUCUCUCUGAAAUACAUGUUUCUUGACUAGGAUUGACUUGGAUUCGGCUAAUCCCAGGUUUCACUCCUGUUGCUGAGGUUCACUUGCUUUUGAUUCUACUUAUUUUUUGGGUUUUUAUGGUUCCCCCGGUGUUCAAUUUUGGACAUGUGUAUUGGGUUUGUGUAAAGAUUUGAUCUUUUUGGUGGUAGUGGUCUUGAAUUGAAUUUGUUUAUUGGUCUUGUGUAGUGGGUUUGUGUAAAGAUUUGAUCUUUUUGGUGUAGCAGUCUUGAAUUUGAUUGGGGCAAAACAAAGUUGAUUUGGACAUUCAACGGGACGUAAUAACGAAUAUGUCUGAUAUGCAUAUUAAACCCCUUUGUUGCCAAGGUUCAGUUACUAUUGAGUCUUGUUCAUUGUUUUAGUUUUUCUGAUGCACACACUGGUUUCAUAUUUGAUCCAUUUGGAGCUUGUUCAUUAAUCUCGCUAUUCUACUUUGUGACGUAGUAUUUUGUGAAUUCAGGCAUCAACUAGAGGUGGCAUCAUAAAAUUACAUCUAGAUGAGAGGAAUCAAGGGUAAUGCUCCAAAGGAAAGUUGUUAUUGUGAUGGAAGGUUCUCUCCUAGUUUAAAUAUGGAGGUAUUCCUAGAAACUUGAGAUCAUUAUAUUGUAUCUGUAGCAAUUUACUUAACAAGUUUUUUACCAUUUGCUACAGAUAUUUUUGAUGAACACUACUUUCUUAAAUGUGUUGUUGAUAUGCAUUUCGUGCUAAUGAUUAUUGAUAAGUAGUACUUUUAUAGUUCUCUUCGAUAGAUUGCUUGCAAUUAUCUAGUUGAUUAAUUAAUGCAGCUGUGUUCACUCUUCCGAGUCACUCGAACUAAAAUGAGUUGGUAAAGUGAGUAUUUAUGAGUCAUUUUAUUCAACAUGUUCAAUAUAUCUAUUGUGAAGUAUUAUGCAAAGUAUGGAAAUUCGUAAAUAAUAUUGGCAAAAUUGUGCCAAUAUUAUUUAGAGCACUUAACUUCACUUACGACCGAAAGAAAAGCCGUUGGUGACUAUAUUCUUGCCAAAAUUCAUAUAUAGUUGCUGAUUGUAUACUAGUUUUUAGAAUAUCAAUUGAUAUUAAUUUUAAAUUAUAUUCAAUAAUUGGCAUUUCAUUUAAAAUGAUAAGUAUAAUUUUGAUUGGGAUGACUGAAUAUUUUCGAUAUUUAUGACUAUUAUAAUUUGGAAGGUUAAUUUUGAAUAGUUAGAAAUGAUUUCAAGAAUUUAUUCCUGUAGUUUAUGUAAUAUGUGUCAAUUCCUUUUUAUGUAUAUUAAGACGUAUGUCAAAUGUUAUUAUAUAAAAGUUUUCGUAUUAUUAUAUUUUGGUAGUUAAUCUUUAUAGCAAACAAAUUUCAAAUAUGUAUAUUAUUUACACAUACAUAUUCAGAAGAUAUUAAAAUAACAAGUAAGCUGCUCCAGAGCUCUUAACCCCAAACAUGACGACUAGGAAAGAGCAAAAUAAAUAUUUCAGUCCACAUUUCGAACCUGCUGGACAAGUAAAUUUUCUUUUAAUUUUGAAACAUGGAUUAAGUUCUUAUAAGUUCUUAUUCAUUUACUUUUGUGAUGUAAUUGGAUCGAUUUUUUUGUAUAUUAUACCAUGUGAAGCAAACACAUGAAUUUAGCUUUAAACAUUUCAGGCCUGGUUCUCAUUUCUAUGUAUACAGGUUGGAUAGUUUUAUAAUUAAUAUGCUCUAUAUGAUAUCAUGAUUUGAUAUUGUGUUUGUUUGAUGUUUAAUAAAUGUUAUCCAAACUAAUCGCCUCUAGUUGGUAAUGAUGUAAUUCGAUACUCAUAAGUUGUUUUUGAUAUCAAUAAUCAAAUUUGUUUAGAUAUGUGCAAUAGAUCACUGUGAAUAUAUGAGUAACAGGUUGUGUAGUGUAAUAAGUGUGAGUGAAGAAUCUUUGAAUUUAUAACUUAAAUCCAUUGAUUUUAAUUGCUAAGUUGAGAAUGGAAUGGUACUGUUUAUGUCAAGUGUUCAUUUCUUCUUAUUUGUGUACAACUUUAAUAACAUGUCAGAAUGCUAUUAAGUAUUAUUCCACCAGUGCAAGAGUAAUUCCUUUUCCUUAGAAUUUUUGAUAGCUUCCUGGGGCGUAGAAAGCUUAUUCAUGUACAGAGUUUGUUAAGUAUCAGCUCAAUAGAGGUAGUUAGGAGUUAAAGUAAAUGCCUUGUCAUCAUGUAAUUACGGGGUUGUUGAAAUUGUGCAAGAUAGGACUUAAAAGAACUGUUUCUUUGAGCUAAUUACGUGCACCCACAAGGUUCCCUUAAUUGCCAGAAGAAAAACAUAAUAAGAGUUGCUCGAUGAAAAAUUCCCAUGUUAUAACCGAUUGCUUUGCUCGUAAGGUUUGAAACCAAAUGUCCUAUCCUAGUGCAAUGUUGCAUAUAUAGGACAGUAAGUUGAGCCCCAAAUAAUAUAUGUCAGUAUUAGUUAUGACACCCACAAGCGAAACACUAAUCAGAUUACGGAAACCUUUAUAUUCCGGGGGUGGUGUAGGCAUACAGUGACUAGACUCAGAUGAGUCAACUCUGAACAGGAAAACAAAUAAGAUUGUAUUUUGUAGGCACUGGAUGUACGAUUAUGAAGUUCCAGUUCCCUAACUCCGGUGUUUGAUAUGUUUUCAACCCAAAUAUCUAUAUCUGAAUAGAGAUAAAGAGGCAGAUCAUUAGGAAUGCAAAGAAUAAACUCUAAUAUGAGACCAUUACGAGAUAAAAGAAUACUGCUGACAGUUCUUGAAAAUUCAUAUAGUUUAGUUUCUCUACUUCUGAAAGGAAACUUUUGAGAAAGCCGGUUGAAGAAAAGGUUAUCAAAAACUAGGUGUGUGUGCAUUUCCCAUUUACCCCUCCAUGUUUUUGAGAGUAUGCUCAUUCUUGUUACAUAUCAACUAGUAAUCGCUUUUGAAUAAGGUCUAGUAAGUCACUAGGCAUGUCACUAAUAAUAUCAACCGCGUCUUCACAAUCAAGCCGUCUUGUGUUAGCAUUACUAGUCAUAUAUCUGAAUAUUAGAAGAAGUAAGAACUAAACUGAAAAGAUUUACAAACAAUAAUACUAUAAUAUAAAUAUAAUUAAGUAUAUUUGUAGUGGUCAACUGGGUAGCAGCAAUUAAUCAAAUUUAUCGUAGCACACAAUUUAAAGAACAUUUAUCCAUAAGAGCCAUAUAUCAUAUAUGUAAAUAAUUCAACUAAGCCAUUAUCACAUUUGGAAAAAAGUGGCAAAAUCAUUUUCGUAUAUAUUAGCGAAAGUUUAACAGUUAAUUAAAACCCCUAAAUCAAAGAUAGAAAAAGAUCAUGUGAGAUAUCAACAUACAUAAAAACAUUGAUUUAUUCAAAAAGUUGAUGAUUCAUAUAUAUAUAUAUAUAUACACACAUACAUAUAUUUAAACAUAUAUAUAUUUGAUACAUGUAUUGGUGGGAGUGAGACAUUAUGAGUGUGGCGGAAUGAGGAAAGAAAUGUGAGGAUUAGUGAUACAACCCUAAUUCUUAAUUAUGUAAUCUGUAUAACGAUGUCGUGUAAUCAGUUGACUGCAAGAUAUUUGCAUAUGCUAGAAAACCGUAUCGUAUGGAACAGAACAUUCUAAAAUGGCUAAACACAACACUGUUUAAGGAUAAUAUUUACAAAUCAUUUUUAUUUAUUUAUUUCCAUUUUAGGGGCAGUAUGUUGAUACUCGUGUACAGGGAAACAACUAUCAACAUAUGUAGACAUUCCCCUGCCUAAAUAACAACCUGCCUCGAAAAUGGAAAUAAAUAUAAAAAGAAAUGUUUUGUAGAUGUUAUCCUUAAAUGAUGUCGUGUUUAGCCAUUCUAGAAUGUUCUUUUUCAUAUGAUGCCGUUUUCUAGCAUAUGCAAAUAUUUUGCAGUCAAAUGAUUACAGGACGUCGUUAUAGAGAUUACAUAAUUAAGAAUUAGGAUUGUAUCGCUAAUUCUCACAUUCUUUCCUUACUCCGCCGCGCUUAUGUUGUCUCACUCCCAGCAAAGGUAUCAAAUGUUUAUAUAUAUUUAUGUGUGUGUGCGUGUAUUUGAAUCAUUGUUUUUUUGAAUAUAUCAAUGUCUUUAUGUAUGUUGAUAUCUCACAUAAUAUUUUUUUCCAUUUUUGCUAUGGGUUUUAAUUAAUUGUUGAACUUUCGCUAAUAUAUAUGAAAAUGGUUUUGGCACUUUUUUCCAUAUGUGUUAAUGGUUUAGUUGAAUUGUUUACAUACUCGGCUGUGAUGCAUAAAUGUUCAUUAAUAUCAGUACUAUGAUAAGUUCGAUUAAUUGUGACUACCUAGUUGGUCACUAUAUAUUGUAGUAUUACUGUUUGUAAAAUUCUUUUCAGUUUGAUUCUUACUUCUUUUAAGUAUUCAGAGAUAAGGCCAGUGAUGCUAACACAAGGCGGCUUGAUUGUGGAGACGCAGUUGAUAUUGUCAGUGACUUGCCCGGUGACUUAUUAGACCUUAUUCUAAAGCGAUUGCCGGUUGACUGUGUAGGAAGAAUGUGCAUUCUCUCAAAAACAUGGAGGGUGAAAUGGGAAAUGCACCCACACCUAGUUUUUGAUGACCUUUUCUUCAACCGGCUUUCUUAGAGGUUUCCUUCCAGAAGUAGAGAAACUAAACUAUAUGAAUUUUCAAAAACUGUCAGCAGUAGUCUUUUAUCUCGUAGUGGUCUCAUAUUGAAGUUUGUUCUUUGCAUUCCUCAUGAUUUGUUUCUUCAUCUCUAAUUAGAUAUAGAUAUUUGGAUUAAAAACAUAACAAACAAUGGAGUUAGGGAAGUGCAACUUCAUAAUCGUACAUUGAGUGCCUACAAAAUACCAUCUUAUUUGUUUUCCUGUUCAGAGUUGACUCAUUUGUUUCUAAGUUGUUGUAUGCUCACACCACCCCGGAAAUUUGAAUACUUUUUUAAUCUGAUUACUGUUUUGCUUGUGGGUGUCUUAAUUACAACUGACAUUUCAUUUGGGGCUCAACUUACUGACCUACAUUUGCAACGUUGCAUUGGGAUUGAACAUUUGGGAUGUCAAUAUUAAUAUUAUAUCAAUCUCACUUUUCUGAGUAUUAGCCAUUGUGAUGUAAUUGGAUCAAAUUUCUUGUAUAUAAUCCCAUGUGAAGCAAACACAUGAAUUUAGCUCUAUACAUUUCAGGCCUGGUUCUCAUUUCUAUGUAUACAACUUGGAUAGUUUUAUGAUUAAUAUGCUGGAUAUGAUACCAUGAUUUGAUAUUGCGUUUGUUGGAUGUUUAAUAAAUGUUAUCCAAACUAAUUGCCUCUAGUUGGUAAUGAUGUAAUUCGAUUUUCAUAGGUUGUUUUUGAUAUCAAUAAUCAAAUUUUUUAGAUAUGUGCAACAGAUCACUGUGAAUAUAUGCGUAACAGGUCACUG